CUUAGUGGCGGACGGGUGAGUAACGCGUGGGUAACCUGCCUCACACUGGGGGAUAACAGUUAGAAAUAGCUGCUAAUACCGCAUAAGCGCACGGUUCCGCAUGGAACAGUGUGAAAAACUCCGGUGGUGUGAGAUGGACCCGCGUCUGAUUAGGUAGUUGGUGGGGUAACGGCCUACCAAGCCGACGAUCAGUAGCCGACCUGAGAGGGUGACCGGCCACAUUGGGACUGAGACACGGCCCAA
Molecule: ribosomal RNA, 243 nt
Filed under: uncultured bacterium
Lineage: Bacteria
Description: partial 16S ribosomal RNA
Rfam family: Bacterial small subunit ribosomal RNA
Source: RNAcentral